This 95-nucleotide transfer RNA is filed under the name Chloroflexota bacterium. Its description in RNAcentral is "Chloroflexi bacterium (anaerobic digester metagenome) tRNA-Sec". It matches the Rfam family "Selenocysteine transfer RNA". Lineage: Bacteria; Bacillati; Chloroflexota. RNAcentral also lists the same sequence under 1 other name. The record is from RNAcentral.
GGGGGUGGCAGAGUCCUGGUGGGCUCCGCGGUCUUCAAAACCGUUGAGGGGUGCCGAGAGGCGGCCCUGGUGGGUUCGACUCCCAUCCACUCCCG